AUCAACUUUCGAUGGUAGGAUAGAGGCCUACCAUGGUGGUAACGGGUAACGGGGUGUUAGGGCACGACACCGGAGAGGGAGCCUGAGAAACGGCWACCACAUCCAAGGAUGGCAGCAGGCGCGCAAAUUACCCAAUCCCGACACGGGGAGGUAGUGACAAUAAAUAACAAUACGGGGUUCUUUUGGAUUUCGUAAUUGGAAUGAGUACAAUUUAAAUCUCUUAACGAGGAACAAUUGGAGGGCAAGUCUGGUGCCAGCAGCCGCGGUAAUUCCAGCUCCAAUAGCGUAUAUUAAAGUUGUUGCAGUUAAAAAGCYCGUAGUUGAAUUUCGGGGUUAGUAGGUUGGUCGUGCCUUUGGUAUGUACUGGUCUCACUGAUUCCUCCUUCUUGAAGAACUGUAAUGUCAUUAAUUUGGUGUUGCAGGGAAACAGGACUGUUACUUUGAAAAAAUUAGAGUGUUUAAAGCAGGCUAACGCCUGAAUACAUUAGCAUGGAAUAAUGAAAUAGGACGUUUGAUCCUAUUUUGUUGGUUUCUAGGAUUGACGUAAUGAUUAAUAGGGAUAGUUGGGGGCAUUAGUAUUCAAUUGUCAGAGGUGAAAUUCUUGGAUUUAUUGAAGACURACUACUGCGAAAGCAUUUGCCAAGGAUGUUUUCAUUAAUCAAGAACGAAAGUUAGGGGAUCGAAGACGAUCAGWUACCGUCGUAGUCUUAACCAUAAACUAUGCCGACUAGGGAU
RNAcentral lists this small RNA (735 nucleotides) under uncultured fungus. Its description in RNAcentral is "SSU rRNA". It matches the Rfam family "Eukaryotic small subunit ribosomal RNA", at positions 316 to 1064 of the family's 1831-position model. The record is from RNAcentral. Lineage: Eukaryota; Fungi.